AGGGCGGGACACGUGGUAUCCUGUCUGAAUAUGGGGGGACCAUCCUCCAAGGCUAAAUACUCCUGACUGACCGAUAGUGAACCAGUACCGUGAGGGAAAGGCGAAAAGAACCCCGGCGAGGGGAGUGAAAAAGAACCUGAAACCGUGUACGUACAAGCAGUGGGAGCACGCUUAGGCGUGUGACUGCGUACCUUUUGUAUAAUGGGUCAGCGACUUAUAUUCUGUAGCAAGGUUAACCGAAUAGGGGAGCCGAAGGGAAACCGAGUCUUAACUGGGCGUUAAGUUGCAGGGUAUAGACCCGAAACCCGGUGAUCUAGCCAUGGGCAGGUUGAAGGUUGGGUAACACUAACUGGAGGACCGAACCGACUAAUGUUGAAAAAUUAGCGGAUGACUUGUGGCUGGGGGUGAAAGGCCAAUCAAACCGGGAGAUAGCUGGUUCUCCCCGAAAGCUAUUUAGGUAGCGCCUCGUGAAUUCAUCUCCGGGGGUAGAGCACUGUUUCGGCAAGGGGGUCAUCCCGACUUACCAACCCGAUGCAAACUGCGAAUACCGGAGAAUGUUAUCACGGGAGACACACGGCGGGUGCUAACGUCCGUCGUGAAGAGGGAAACAACCCAGACCGCCAGCUAAGGUCCCAAAGUCAUGGUUAAGUGGGAAACGAUGUGGGAAGGCCCAGACAGCCAGGAUGUUGGCUUAGAAGCAGCCAUCAUUUAAAGAAAGCGUAAUAGCUCACUGGUCGAGUCGGCCUGCGCGGAAGAUGUAACGGGGCUAAACCAUGCACCGAAGCUGCGGCAGCGACGCUGAUGCGUUGUUGGGUAGGGGAGCGUUCUGUAAGCCUGUGAAGGUGUGCUGUGAGGCAUGCUGGAGGUAUCAGAAGUGCGAAUGCUGACAUAAGUAACGAUAAAGCGGGUGAAAAGCCCGCUCGCCGGAAGACCAAGGGUUCCUGUCCAACGUUAAUCGGGGCAGGGUGAGUCGACCCCUAAGGCGAGGCCGAAAGGCGUAGUCGAUGGGAAACAGGUUAAUAUUCCUGUACUUGGUGUUACUGCGAAGGGGGGACGGAGAAGGCUAUGUUGGCCGGGCGACGGUUGUCCCGGUUUAAGCGUGUAGGCUGGUUUUCCAGGCAAAUCCGGAAAAUCAAGGCUGAGGCGUGAUGACGAGGCACUACGGUGCUGAAGCAACAAAUGCCCUGCUUCCAGGAAAAGCCUCUAAGCAUCAGGUAACAUCAAAUCGUACCCCAAACCGACACAGGUGGUCAGGUAGAGAAUACCAAGGCGCUUGAGAGAACUCGGGUGAAGGAACUAGGCAAAAUGGUGCCGUAACUUCGGGAGAAGGCACGCUGAUAUGUAGGUGAAGCGACUUGCUCGUGGAGCUGAAAUCAGUCGAAGAUACCAGCUGGCUGCAACUGUUUAUUAAAAACACAGCACUGUGCAAACACGAAAGUGGACGUAUACGGUGUGACGCCUGCCCGGUGCCGGAAGGUUAAUUGAUGGGGU
This 1491-nucleotide ribosomal RNA is filed under the name Escherichia coli. RNAcentral describes it as "partial 23S ribosomal RNA". It matches the Rfam family "Bacterial large subunit ribosomal RNA", at positions 414 to 1890 of the family's 2925-position model. Lineage: Bacteria; Pseudomonadati; Pseudomonadota; Gammaproteobacteria; Enterobacterales; Enterobacteriaceae. The record is from RNAcentral.